UACUGUCAAGCUGAUCGCGCCGUCGUCUACUGCAAUCACUUUGGAGGAAAGGAUGGUCAGUAACAGGAAAACUUUGGUUGAGAUUGUCCAAGCAGUACCAAAUGCAGCCAUUGUAAGUUUAUAACUGAAUUUUCGUACAUGGUCAACUUUAGUAAAUGUCCAACGUUUAUAAAUACUAACUGAAAAUACAGGGAGCCAAGUUCACAUGCAAGGGUGUCAUUUCUGAGGUUAUAUACGAUUAUGAGCCCUUCUAUUUCUCUUGCAACAACAAAGAGUGUCGCAAGAAAGUUGUUCCUAGAGGCAGC
This 305-nucleotide long non-coding RNA is filed under the name Aquilegia coerulea. RNAcentral's name for it is "long non-coding RNA (ACOE_LNC002366)". Lineage: Eukaryota; Viridiplantae; Streptophyta; Magnoliopsida; Ranunculales; Ranunculaceae. The record is from RNAcentral.